Molecule: ribosomal RNA, 460 nt
Filed under: Burkholderia sp. oral taxon 406
Lineage: Bacteria; Pseudomonadati; Pseudomonadota; Betaproteobacteria; Burkholderiales; Burkholderiaceae
Description: bacterial SSU rRNA
Rfam family: Bacterial small subunit ribosomal RNA
Source: RNAcentral
AUUGAACGCUGGCGGCAUGCCUUACACAUGCAAGUCGAACGGCAGCAUGAUCUAGCUUGCUAGAUUGAUGGCGAGUGGCGAACGGGUGAGUAAUACAUCGGAACGUGCCCUGUAGUGGGGGAUAACUAGUCGAAAGAUUAGCUAAUACCGCAUACGACCUGAGGGUGAAAGUGGGGGACCGCAAGGCCUCAUGCUAUAGGAGCGGCCGAUGUCUGAUUAGCUAGUUGGUGAGGUAAAGGCUCACCAAGGCGACGAUCAGUAGCUGGUCUGAGAGGACGAUCAGCCACACUGGGACUGAGACACGGCCCAGACUCCUACGGGAGGCAGCAGUGGGGAAUUUUGGACAAUGGGGGCAACCCUGAUCCAGCAAUGCCGCGUGUGUGAAGAAGGCCUUCGGGUUGUAAAGCACUUUUGUCCGGAAAGAAAUCGCACUUACUAAUAUUAGGUGUGGAUGACGUAC